CCCGAUCCCAUCCCGAACUCGGAAGUGAAACACAGCUGCGCCGAUGGUAGUGUGGCUUUGCCAUGCGAGAGUAGGUCAUCGCCAGGG
RNAcentral lists this ribosomal RNA (87 nucleotides) under Lysobacteraceae bacterium. The record is from RNAcentral. Lineage: Bacteria; Pseudomonadati; Pseudomonadota; Gammaproteobacteria; Lysobacterales; Lysobacteraceae.